GCUGGAAUUGUAUGAUUGUGAAGACAUCGCGAACCUUAAAGGUUGAGAAGUGAACGGAUUAUACGGCGAACUGAGACGACGUGAAAAAGGGGAUUGGAAGCGGCAUUGAUGUGAGUACUAAGAGCCAGUCGAAAGUGCCCUGUAUAUUGACCUGGCGUUGUGUAGAUCUCUCCAGGAGGAGGAGGGCGGCCCUACCCCUAAUAUAGCGUGGUGGGAGAGCCGAAGGAAUACUUAUUGAAGUAGUCACAACGACGACAUCACUAGCUAGGCCGCAUAUUCCAUCGCCAGAUCCGAACCAAGCGAAGUGAAGGAAGACGGGUGUCCUUUUCGUACACUGAGUGUGGUGGGUGAGUCUUCGUGCUGUGAAAACCUAUAAUUUUGACGUGGUGUUGUAUAUUGCUGUGGGCUGCUGUGUAUUGCCGUGUGUCCUGUCAGAUAAACCCCCGCCUUCACGCACUUCGUCGCGGGAGGACAAGGAGACUGCUGGUCCUAGCCUAGUUCAGUACAGUAUAUGUUGUGAGCGUGCUUCAGAUCUCCGGAGAUAGCAUGGUACGCUGUGUCCAGCCCAGAGGUGAAAGCCAUCCAAAGCAGAGUAACUGUGCUUUGUGUCCAAGUUGAUACCUGUGGAGAGGAAAGGAAAGAGAGAGUGAGUAACACAAGGAGAACCAGAGGGAACCUGUACUUACAGUACGCUGUGUCCAGCCCAGAGGUGAGAGCCAUUCAAAGCAAACUAACUGUGCUAUUGUGCCCAAGUUGAUACCUGUGGAGAGAAAAGGAAAGAGAGAUUGAUACCUGUGGAGAGAAAAGGAGAGAGAGUGGGUAACACGAGGAGAGACCGAGGAAAACUGUACUUACGCCGCUACCUGUGGAGAAAGAGAAAGCGACCGUUGCCUGUGGAGGAAGAGAAAGAGAGUGAGCACCUCGAGAACGAACUGUGUGAACCAGUACUUACCGUGAGCUGUAUUCAGCGAAGAGGAGGAAGAAGGAGGGCGCUACGGAUACCUAAGACUCAGGCCGGGGCCCGAGUCCCACGCCCCGGAUCCCCGUGGCCCCCUUUCUCCCUGACCUCUUCCCGGCCAUAGCCCAUCUGGAGGGCCGAGUCAGAGUUUAGUUUUAAUUGCCCUUUCCCUAUUCCCCAAGCUAUUUUUAAAUAUUUAAAUAAAGAU
This is a long non-coding RNA of Cyprinus carpio carpio, 1166 nucleotides long. The record is from Ensembl. NCBI's taxonomy places the organism in Eukaryota, Metazoa, Chordata, Actinopteri, Cypriniformes, Cyprinidae.